RNAcentral lists this ribosomal RNA (501 nucleotides) under uncultured bacterium. RNAcentral describes it as "bacterial SSU rRNA". It matches the Rfam family "Bacterial small subunit ribosomal RNA", at positions 28 to 526 of the family's 1533-position model. The record is from RNAcentral.
GAUGAACGCUGGCGGCGUGCCUAACACAUGCAAGUCGAACGGAACUUUUCUGACCGGAGGCUUCGGCCAAAGGUCGGUUAAGUUUAGUGGCGGACGGGUGAGUAACGCGUGAGCAACCUGCCCUUCGGAGGGGGACAACAGCUGGAAACGGCUGCUAAUACCGCAUAUCGCAAGAGAGUCGCAUGGCGUUUUUGUGAAAGAUUUAUCGCCGAAGGAUGGGCUGGCGUCUGAUUAGCUAGUUGGUGAGGUAACGGCUCACCAAGGCGGCGAUCAGUAGUCGGACUGAGAGGUGGAACGGCCACAUUGGGACGGGGAUACGGCCCAGACUCCUGCGGGAGGCAGCAGUGGGGAAUAUUGGGCAAUGGGCGCAAGCCUGACCCAGCAACGCCGCGUGGAGGAAGAAGGCUUUCGGGUUGUAAACUCCUUUGACCAGGGAAGAAGAAGUGACGGUACCUGGAAAACAAGCCACGGCUAACUACGUGCCAGCCGCCGCGGUAAUAC